CCCGCACAAGCGGUGGAUUAUGUGGAUUAAUUCGAUGCAACGCGAAAACCUUACCUACCCUUGACAUGCUAGGAACUUGCCAGAGAUGGCUUGGUGCCCGAAAGGGAACCUAGACACAGGUGCUGCAUGGCUGUCGUCAGCUCGUGUCGUGAGAUGUUGGGUUAAGUCCCGCAACGAGCGCAACCCUUGUCAUUAAUUGCCAUCAUUCAGUUGGGCACUUUAAUGAGGCUGCCGGUGACAAACCGGAGGAAGGUGGGGAUGACGUCAAGUCCUCAUGGCCCUUAUGGGUAGGGCUUCACACGUAAUACAAUGGUCGGUACAGAGGGUUGCCAACCCGCGAGGGGGAGCCAAUCCCAGAAAACCGAUCGUAGUCCGGAUUGCAGUCUGCAACUCGACUGCAUGAAGUCGGAAUCGCUAGUAAUCGCGGAUCAGCAUGUCGCGGUGAAUACGUUCCCGGGCCUU
This 462-nucleotide ribosomal RNA is filed under the name uncultured Methylophilaceae bacterium. RNAcentral describes it as "bacterial SSU rRNA". It matches the Rfam family "Bacterial small subunit ribosomal RNA", at positions 920 to 1382 of the family's 1533-position model. The record is from RNAcentral. Lineage: Bacteria; Pseudomonadati; Pseudomonadota; Betaproteobacteria; Nitrosomonadales; Methylophilaceae.